Molecule: ribosomal RNA, 4724 nt
Filed under: Streptococcus pneumoniae
Lineage: Bacteria; Bacillati; Bacillota; Bacilli; Lactobacillales; Streptococcaceae
Description: 23S ribosomal RNA
Rfam family: Bacterial large subunit ribosomal RNA (bases 3000-4724)
Source: RNAcentral
AUUACCGCUAUAUCAUAUGGACGUGUAUCGCUUAGCAGAAAGUGAAGAAGACUUAGGCUUUGAUGAGUAUUUCUACGGUGAAGGAAUUACGGUAGUAGAAUGGGCCCAUUUAAUAGAAGCAUAUUUACCAAAUGAGAAGUUACAAAUUAGUUUAUUCCAUGCUGGAGAUGACACAAGAAACAUUGUACUCGAGCCAAUUGGAGAUCGCUAUAUUAGAUUAUGUGAGGAGCUAUUACAAGAUGAAAGUACUAGCAAUUGAUACUUCAAAUUACGUAAUGGGUGUAUCCCUUAUUGAAGAAGGAAACGUAAUUGGGGAAAUCAUUACAAAUUUAACAAAAAAUCAUUCUGUGCGUCUUAUGCCAGCUGUAGAACAACUGUUAAAAGAAUGUGGUGUAAAACCGAAAGAAUUAACUAAAAUAGUUGUAGCUGCUGGACCAGGGUCAUAUACAGGUGUUCGUAUAGGUGUGACAGCUGCUAAAACAUUAGCUUGGUCACUUCAAAUACCAAUUGUAGGUGUAUCAAGUUUAGAAGUAGUGGCUGCAAACGGAGCUAAUUUUGAUGGGUUAAUCUGUCCUUUAUUCGAUGGAAGACGUGGACAAAUUUAUACUGGCUUAUAUACAUAUGAAGGAGAGGAUUUAACUUCUAUAGAAGAAGACCGAAUCAUCCUUAUUGUAGACUGGUUGCAAAUGUUAAAAGAUAAAGGAAAGUCUGUUUUAUUUAUUGGUAACGAUGUGAAACUACACAAAGAAACAAUUAUUGAACAGUUAGGCGAUCAAGCUGUAUUUGCUCCUUUCACUAAAAAUAACCCAAGACCAAGUGAGCUAGCGUUCUUAGGAUUACAAAAAGAAGAACAAGAUGUACAUUCAUUUGUUCCUAGUUACCUUCGUUUAGCUGAGGCUGAAACAAAGUGGUUAGAAAGUCAAAACAAGUAGGAGCUUGCAGAGGAUGGAUAUGAUAUUUAGAAAGAUGGAACUCGAUGAUAUUGCUCAAAUUGUAGCUAUUGAAGAAGCAUCUUUUUCAACUCCUUGGACUGCAGAUGCCUUUCACCGUGAGUUAACGAUGAAUGAACAUGCACAUUAUGUUGUGCUAGAAAAAGAUGGUCGUGUAAUUGGGUAUUGUGGAUUGUGGAUAAUUAUUGAUGAAUCGCAUAUAACAAAUAUAGCUAUUUUGCCAGAAUAUAGAGGUCAAAAGCUAGGAGAUGCUUUAUUAAAAGAAGUUAUUUCCGAAGCGAAAACUCUAGGUGUAAAAACGAUGACACUUGAAGUACGUGUAUCAAAUGAAGUAGCAAAACAGUUAUACAGAAAAUACGGAUUUCAAAAUGGUGGAAUUCGUAAACGAUACUAUGCAGACAAUCAGGAAGAUGGUCUCGUAAUGUGGGUGAAUAUAUAAUGGAAAAAAAUACGAUUAUACUUGGUAUUGAAACAAGUUGUGAUGAAACAGCAGUAGCGGUUGUUAAAAAUGGAACGGAAAUUAUUGCGAAUGUCGUUGCAUCUCAAAUUGAAAGUCAUAAACGUUUUGGCGGAGUUGUACCAGAGAUUGCAUCCCGUCAUCAUGUAGAAGAAAUUACAGUUGUGUUAGAAGAAGCUUUAAAAGAAGCAAAUAUCACAUUUGAUGAUAUUGAUGCAAUUGCUGUAACAGAAGGUCCUGGUUUAGUAGGAGCGCUUUUAAUAGGGGUAAAUGCAGCGAAAGCAGUGGCUUUUGCACAUGAUAUCCCUCUAGUGGGUGUUCAUCAUAUCGCUGGCCACAUUUAUGCGAAUCGUUUAGUAAAAGAAGUUCAAUUCCCAUUGCUAUCACUUGUGGUAUCUGGUGGACAUACAGAGCUUGUUUAUAUGAAAGAACAUGGUUCAUUUGAAGUAAUUGGUGAAACGCGAGAUGAUGCAGCAGGAGAGGCAUAUGAUAAAGUAGCUCGUACGUUAUCUAUGCCAUAUCCAGGUGGUCCCCAUAUUGAUCGUCUUGCACAUGAAGGGAAACCAACAAUCGAUUUACCUCGUGCAUGGCUGGAACCUGAUUCAUAUGAUUUCAGUUUUAGCGGAUUAAAAUCAGCAGUUAUCAACACUGUGCAUAACGCAAAACAACGCGGGAUAGAAAUUGCACCGGAAGAUUUAGCAGCAAGUUUCCAAGAGAGUGUAAUUGAUGUGUUAGUAACGAAAGCAUCUCGUGCAGCAGAUGCUUAUAACGUAAAGCAAGUGCUUCUUGCUGGUGGAGUAGCUGCGAAUAAAGGACUUCGUGCACGUUUAGAAGCAGAAUUUGCACAAAAAGAAAAUGUAGAGCUAAUUAUUCCUCCUCUAUCUUUAUGCACAGAUAAUGCAGCAAUGAUUGCAGCGGCAGGUACAAUUGCAUAUGAACAAGGAAAACGUGCUACAUUAGCUUUAAAUGCUAAUCCGGGAUUAGAUAUCGAAGCAUAGUUAUACACAAAAUUAACCACAGCUUGUGGAUAAAACCCAUAUUAUCUGUUGAUAAUAUGGGUUUUAUUGUGUAUAUAAAAUGUUGAUAACUUUUUUAUUAAUUGUGGAUAAUGUGGAAAAGUUAUUUGGAUGUUUAUUUUAUAAAGGUGGAUAUGUGUAUAAACUUGUGGAUAAAAUAGAUGAAGUCUGACCUUUAAAUCUAUCCUUUUUCGGGAAAUAAAAACGAAGAAGGUAUUUCUAAAAAACAUUUUGAAAUAUGCUCUUAUUAUAGGAGGUGUUAAUAUUGUCAAACUUUGUCGGGAAAUCGUUAUUUCGUAUCGAAUCGUUGAUAUAUAGGGCUACAAUAGAUAUAUUUGAAAAAUCGUUGUUAUAUUCUAAGUUACGAUUGAUAUAUUCAAAAAAUUAUUUAUGUACUAAAAGAAAAAGAUGUCGCAUAGUCAAAAAUCCUGACUUAUGAGACAUCAUCCUUAUUUAAAUAUAUUUAUACAUGCAGCUCUUCCCAUUCUGCCAUACAAGCAUCAAGUUGUUCUUGUAGCGUUUGCUUUUUCGUUGUAAUUUCACUAGCUUUUUCAUAAUCUGCAUAUAUUUCUGGUAGGCAAAGUUGAUCUUCUAACGUAGCAAUUUCUUCUUCUAAUUCCACUAUAUUUUGUUCUAGCUCUUCAAUUUUUCUAGUGCGUUGACGCUCUAGUUUUUUACGCUCUUUUUCUUCUAAAUAAUUUAAUUUCUCUUGUGCAACCACCUUUUGAACAGGAACGUCAUUUUCUUGCUGUUCAAGUUCUGCACGUUCAAUCAUUUCAUUUUUCUUUUCAACGUAGUAAUCGUAAUCCCCUAAAUAUUCCUGUACCACCUCUUUAUCGUUUGAGCAAUGGAGGGACGCAGAAGGAUAGAAGAAGCGUGCGAUUGGUUGUGCACGUCCAAGCAGUUAGGCUGAUAAGUAGGCAAAUCNNNNNNNNNNNNNNNNNNNNNUGUGAUGGGGAAGCUCCUUAUGGAGCGAAGUCUUUGAUUCCCCGCUGCCAAGAAAAGCUUCUAGCGAGAUAAAAGGUGCCUGUACCGCAAACCGACACAGGUAGGCGAGGAGAGAAUCCUAAGGUGUGCGAGAGAACUCUGGUUAAGGAACUCGGCAAAAUGACCCCGUAACUUCGGGAGAAGGGGUGCUUUCUUAACGGAAAGCCGCAGUGAAUAGGCCCAAGCGACUGUUUAGCAAAAACACAGCUCUCUGCGAAGCCGUAAGGCGAAGUAUAGGGGGUGACACCUGCCCGGUGCUGGAAGGUUAAGGAGAGGGGUUAGCGUAAGCGAAGCUCUGAACUGAAGCCCCAGUAAACGGCGGCCGUAACUAUAACGGUCCUAAGGUAGCGAAAUUCCUUGUCGGGUAAGUUCCGACCCGCACGAAAGGUGUAACGAUUUGGGCACUGUCUCAACCAGAGACUCGGUGAAAUUAUAGUACCUGUGAAGAUGCAGGUUACCCGCGACAGGACGGAAAGACCCCGUGGAGCUUUACUGUAGCCUGAUAUUGAAUUUUGGUACAGUUUGUACAGGAUAGGCGGGAGCCUUUGAAACCGGAGCGCUAGCUUCGGUGGAGGCGCUGGUGGGAUACCGCCCUGACUGUAUUGAAAUUCUAACCUACGGGUCUUAUCGACCCGGGAGACAGUGUCAGGUGGGCAGUUUGACUGGGGCGGUCGCCUCCUAAAGUGUAACGGAGGCGCCCAAAGGUUCCCUCAGAAUGGUUGGAAAUCAUUCGUAGAGUGCAAAGGCAUAAGGGAGCUUGACUGCGAGACCUACAAGUCGAGCAGGGACGAAAGUCGGGCUUAGUGAUCCGGUGGUUCCGCAUGGAAGGGCCAUCGCUCAACGGAUAAAAGCUACCCCGGGGAUAACAGGCUUAUCUCCCCCAAGAGUCCACAUCGACGGGGAGGUUUGGCACCUCGAUGUCGGCUCAUCGCAUCCUGGGGCUGUAGUCGGUCCCAAGGGUUGGGCUGUUCGCCCAUUAAAGCGGUACGCGAGCUGGGUUCAGAACGUCGUGAGACAGUUCGGUCCCUAUCCGUCGUGGGCGUAGGAAAUUUGAGAGGAGCUGUCCUUAGUACGAGAGGACCGGGAUGGACGCACCGCUGGUGUACCAGUUGUUCUGCCAAGGGCAUAGCUGGGUAGCUAUGUGCGGAAGGGAUAAGUGCUGAAAGCAUCUAAGCAUGAAGCCCCCCUCAAGAUGAGAUUUCCCAUAGCGUAAGCUAGUAAGAUCCCUGAAAGAUGAUCAGGUUGAUAGGUUCGAGGUGGAAGCAUGGUGACAUGUGGAGCUGACGAAUACUAAUAGAUCGAGGACUUAACCAU